RNAcentral lists this ribosomal RNA (520 nucleotides) under uncultured Glomus. Its description in RNAcentral is "SSU rRNA". It matches the Rfam family "Eukaryotic small subunit ribosomal RNA", at positions 569 to 1091 of the family's 1831-position model. Lineage: Eukaryota; Fungi; Glomeromycota; Glomeromycetes; Glomerales; Glomeraceae. The record is from RNAcentral.
AGCAGCCGCGGUAAUUCCAGCUCCAAUAGCGUAUAUUAAAGUUGUUGCAGUUAAAAAGCUCGUAGUUGAAUUUCGGGGUCAGUAGGUUGGUCGUGCCACUGGUAUGUACUGGCCUCACUGAUUCCUCCUUCUUGUAGAACCGUAAUGCCAUUAAUUUGGUGUUGCGGGGAAACAGGACUGUUACUUUGAAAAAAUUAGAGUGUUUAAAGCAGGCUAACGCUUGAAUACAUUAGCAUGGAAUAAUGAAAUAGGACGUUCGAUCCUAUUUUGUUGGUUUCUAGGAUUGACGUAAUGAUUAAUAGGGAUAGUUGGGGGCAUUAGUAUUCAAUUGUCAGAGGUGAAAUUCUUGGAUUUAUUGAAGACUAACUACUGCGAAAGCAUUUGCCAAGGAUGUUUUCAUUAAUCAAGAACGAAAGUUAGGGGAAUCGAAGACGAUCAGAUACCGUCGUAGUCUUAACCAUAAACUAUGCCGACUAGGGAUCGGAUGAUGUAAUUUUUAAUGACUCAUUCGGCGCCUUAC